AGUGAACGCUGGCGGUAGGCCUAACACAUGCAAGUCGAACGGCAGCACAGUAAGAGCUUGCUCUUACGGGUGGCGAGUGGCGGACGGGUGAGGAAUACAUCGGAAUCUACUUUUUCGUGGGGGAUAACGUAGGGAAACUUACGCUAAUACCGCAUACGACCUACGGGCGAAAGCAGGGGAUCUUCGGACCUUGCGCGAUUGAAUGAGCCGAUGUCGGAUUAGCUAGUUGGCGGGGUAAAGGCCCACCAAGGCGACGAUCCGUAGCUGGUCUGAGAGGAUGAUCAGCCACACUGGAACUGAGACACGGUCCAGACUCCUACGGGAGGCAGCAGUGGGGAAUAUUGGACAAUGGGCGCAAGCCUGAUCCAGCCACACCGCGUGGGUGAAGAAGGCCUUCGGGUUGUAAAGCCCUUUUGUUGGGAAAGAAAAGCAGCAGGUUAAUACCCCGCUGUUCUGACGGUACCCAAAGAAUAAGCACCGGCUAACUUCGUG
This 492-nucleotide ribosomal RNA is filed under the name uncultured bacterium. Its description in RNAcentral is "partial 16S ribosomal RNA". It matches the Rfam family "Bacterial small subunit ribosomal RNA", at positions 29 to 507 of the family's 1533-position model. The record is from RNAcentral.